UACAGAGGGUGCAAGCGUUAAUCGGAAUUACUGGGCGUAAAGCGCGCGUAGGCGGUUUGUUAAGUCGGAUGUGAAAUCCCUGGGCUCAACCUAGGCACUGCAUCCGAUACUGGCUGACUAGAGUGUGGGAGAGGAAGGUAGAAUUCCAGGUGUAGCGGUGAAAUGCGUAGAGAUCUGGAGGAAUACCGAUGGCGAAGGCAGCCUUCUGGCCUAACACUGACGCUGAGGUGCGAAAGCAUGGGGAGCAAACAGG
Molecule: ribosomal RNA, 253 nt
Filed under: uncultured bacterium
Lineage: Bacteria
Description: partial 16S ribosomal RNA
Rfam family: Bacterial small subunit ribosomal RNA
Source: RNAcentral